This 253-nucleotide ribosomal RNA is filed under the name uncultured bacterium. Its description in RNAcentral is "partial 16S ribosomal RNA". It matches the Rfam family "Bacterial small subunit ribosomal RNA", at positions 524 to 776 of the family's 1533-position model. The record is from RNAcentral.
UACGAGGGGGGCAAAUGUUGUUCGGAAUCACUGGGCGUAAAGGGAGCGUAGGCGGGCUUCUAAGUUGGAUGUUUAAACCCGGGGCCCAACCCCGGAUCGGCAUCCAAAACUGGGAGUCUUGAAUAGUGGAGAGGACGGCGGAAUUGGGGGUGUAGCGGUGGAAUGCGUAGAGAUCCCCAAGAACACCAGUUGCGAAGGCGGCCGUCUGGACACAUAUUGACGCUGAGGCUCGAAAGCAUGGGGAGCAAACAGG